RNAcentral lists this ribosomal RNA (440 nucleotides) under uncultured bacterium. Its description in RNAcentral is "partial 16S ribosomal RNA". It matches the Rfam family "Bacterial small subunit ribosomal RNA", at positions 338 to 795 of the family's 1533-position model. The record is from RNAcentral.
CCUACGGGAGGCAGCAGUGGGGAAUAUUGCACAAUGGGGGAAACCCUGAUGCAGCGACGCCGCGUGAGUGAGGAAGUAUUUCGGUAUGUAAAGCUCUAUCAGCAGGGAAGAAAAUGACGGUACCUGAGUAAGAAGCCCCGGCUAACUACGUGCCAGCAGCCGCGGUAAUACGUAGGGGGCAAGCGUUAUCCGGAUUUACUGGGUGUAAAGGGCGUGUAGACGGGUAAUCAAGUCAGAAGUGAAAACCCAGGGCUCAACCUGUGGACUGCAUUUGAAACUGUGUAGCUGGAGUGCGGGAGAGGCAAGCGGAAUUCCGAGUGUAGCGGUGAAAUGCGUAGAUAUUAGGAGGAACACCAGUGGCGAAGGCGGAUUGCUGGACAGUAACUGACGUUGAGGCGCGAAAGCGUGGGGAGCAAACAGGAUUAGAUACCCGAGUAGUC